RNAcentral lists this ribosomal RNA (755 nucleotides) under uncultured Dokdonella sp. RNAcentral's name for it is "bacterial SSU rRNA". It matches the Rfam family "Bacterial small subunit ribosomal RNA", at positions 31 to 779 of the family's 1533-position model. Lineage: Bacteria; Pseudomonadati; Pseudomonadota; Gammaproteobacteria; Lysobacterales; Rhodanobacteraceae. The record is from RNAcentral.
GAACGCUGGCGGCAGGCCUAACACAUGCAAGUCGAGCGGCAGCGCGGGGCAACCUGGCGGCGAGCGGCGGACGGGUGAGGAAUGCAUCGGAAUCUACCCUGUCGUGGGGGAUAACGUAGGGAAACUUACGCUAAUACCGCAUACGACCGAGAGGUGAAAGUGGGGGACCGCAAGGCCUCACGCGAUUGGAUGAGCCGAUGCCGGAUUAGCUAGUUGGAGGGGUAAAGGCCCACCAAGGCGACGAUCCGUAGCUGGUCUGAGAGGAUGAUCAGCCACAUUGGGACUGAGACACGGCCCAUACUCCUACGGGAGGCAGCAGUGGGGAAUAUUGGACAAUGGGCGCAAGCCUGAUCCAGCCAUGCCGCGUGUGUGAAGAAGGCCUUCGGGUUGUAAAGCACUUUUGUUCGGGAAGAAAUCGUGCGGAUUAAUACUCUCGUACGGAUGACGGUACCGAAAGAAUAAGCACCGGCUAACUUCGUGCCAGCAGCCGCGGUAAUACGAAGGGUGCAAGCGUUACUCGGAAUCACUGGGCGUAAAGCGUGCGUAGGCGGUUCGUUAAGUCUGCUGUGAAAGCCCUGAGGCUCAACCUGGGAACUGCAGUGGAUACUGGCGGACCUAGAGUGUGAUAGAGGAUGGUGGAAUUCCCGGUGUAGCGGUGAAAUGCGUAGAGAUCGGGAGGAACACCAGUGGCGAAGGCGGCCAUCUGGAUCAACGACUGACGCUGAGGCACGAAAGCGUGGGGAGCAAACAGGAUU